RNAcentral lists this ribosomal RNA (498 nucleotides) under uncultured bacterium. RNAcentral's name for it is "partial 16S ribosomal RNA". It matches the Rfam family "Bacterial small subunit ribosomal RNA", at positions 899 to 1397 of the family's 1533-position model. The record is from RNAcentral.
ACUCAAAGGAAUAGACGGGGGCCCGCACAAGCGGCGGAGCAUGUGGCUUAAUUCGAUGCAACGCGAAGAACCUUACCUGGGCUUGACAUGCGGGGCGAAGCCUAUGAAAGUAGGCGCUCCUUCGGGAGCCCGCACAGGUGCUGCAUGGCUGUCGUCAGCUCGUGCCGUGAGGUGUUGCCUUAAGUGGCGCAACGAGCGCAACCCCUGUCCCAUGUUGCCAGCGGAUCAUGCCGGGGACUCAUGGGAGACUGCCGGUGCCAAACCGGAGGAAGGUGGGGAUGAGGUCAAGUCAUCAUGGCCCUUAUGCCCAGGGCUGCACACAUGCUACAAUGCGCGGUACAAAGGGCUGCUAUCCCGCAAGGGUGAGCGAAUCCCAAAAAGCCGCGCUCAGUUCGGAUCGAGGUCUGCAACCCGACCUCGUGAAGCCGGAGUCGCUAGUAAUCGCAGAUCAGCAAUGCUGCGGUGAAUACGUUCCCGGGCCUUGUACACACCGCCCGU